UCAGUCGACUCCUACGGGGAGGCAGCAGUGGGGGAAUAUUGGACAAUGGGGGGGAACCCUGAUCCAGCCAUGCCGCGUGUGUGAAGAAGGCCUUAUGGUUGUAAAGCACUUUAAGCGAGGAGGAGGCUACUGAGACUAAUACUCUUGGAUAGUGGACGUUACUCGCAGAUAAGCACCGGCUAACUCUGUGCCAGCAGCCGCGGUAAUACAGAGGGUGCGAGCGUUAAUCGGAUUACUGGGCGUAAAGCGUGCGUAGGCGGCUUUUAAGUCGGAUGUGAAAUCCCCGAGCUUAACUUGGGAAUUGCAUUCGAUACUGGGAAGCUAGAGUAUGGGAGAGGAUGGUAGAAUUCCAGGUGUAGCGGUGAAAUGCGUAGAGAUCUGGAGGAAUACCGAUGGCGAAGGCAGCCAUCUGGCCUAAUACUGACGCUGAGGUACGAAAGCAUGGGGAGCAAACAGGAUUAGAUACCCUGGUAG
Molecule: ribosomal RNA, 474 nt
Filed under: uncultured bacterium
Lineage: Bacteria
Description: bacterial SSU rRNA
Rfam family: Bacterial small subunit ribosomal RNA
Source: RNAcentral